CCUACGGGUGACAGCAGUGGGGAAUAUUGGGCAAUGGGCGAAAGCCUGACCCAGCAACGCCGCGUGAAGGAAGAAGGCUUUCGGGUUGUAAACUUCUUUUGACAGGGAAGAGCAGAAGACUGUACCUGUCGAAUAAGCCACGGCUAACUACGUGCCAGCAGCCGCGGUAAUACGUAGGUGGCAAGCGUUGUCCGGAUUUACUGGGUGUAAAGGGCGUGUAGCCGGGCUGACAAGUCAGAUGUGAAAUUCGGGGGCUCAACCGGUGGCCUGCAUUUGAAACUGUGUUUCUUGAGUAAUGGAGAGGCAGACGGAAUUCCUAGUGUAGCGGUGAAAUGCGUAGAUAUUAGGAGGAACACCAGUGGCGAAGGCGGUCUGCUGGACAGCAACUGACGCUGAGGCGCGAAAGCGUGGGGAGCAAACAGGAUUAGAUACCCGUGUAGUC
Molecule: ribosomal RNA, 442 nt
Filed under: uncultured bacterium
Lineage: Bacteria
Description: partial 16S ribosomal RNA
Rfam family: Bacterial small subunit ribosomal RNA
Source: RNAcentral